UCUUCUGAUCCUUAUUUCUCUCAAUUGGGCUUCAUUUUUGGCUUCAUCAUUCCAACCAUCUCAAUAGAGGGUUUGACUCUGAAAUUCAAAAUCAGUGAUGGUGAAAGUGAAACUAUCAACGUGUACUUGGACAGACCAUAUCAAGGAAUUGAAUCAGAUCAUGUGUAUCUAAUGUAUGACCCGAGAUGUUCGCAUUACCUAGCUAGCCGAGUCAAUGAUCAGUCAAAGAUUACAAUUAAGGUUAGCGCAGCAUCAAGAACACUGACAUCAGAGUACAUGCCAGUGCAAUUAAGAGGGUUUGGGGUUAGCCUUGUAACCCCUUCAAAAUAUGACAAGUUUAAACAUCAAUUGGAAUUGGAUGAUGGUAGCGUUAUUCCAAAUAAUAUGUGUUCAGUUGAAGAAGGAUGAAAUUUUCCAGGAAUUCAAAAUGCUAAAUAGUUCAGUUAUUUCAAUUGCUUGUUUUAAUUUGUUAAGGUAAAUUUGAGCAUGAAAUCAGAGGGUUUAUGAGUGUUUAAUUAACUUGUUUUCAAUCCUUAGUGUUUUGUUUCAGAGUUUACAAAAAAAUUUAGAGAAGCCUGAUUAAGUAUACAUACAUUUGGAUAUAUAUAAUUACUGUGUGCUAGUGGUUCUGAAAAGAAAUUUAUACCCACCUCAAUGCUUCAACUUCAGCAGGAAAAUAUCUCCAUGGAGGUUAUGAAUACACUACAUUUAUGAAGUAAAAGGCUAUGAAAUUUGGAGGAAAAUUUAUUGACAAUGAAGAUUGGAAAAAGUUAUGCCUAAUAUCAAACAAUAUAGAAUACGAACCUUCAUUUUAAUUUUCAUGGAUUAUGAUUCCGAACUACUUAAGAUUCCGGAAUCCGAAUAAUCAACUAAUCAAUAUCUAUAAUAUGGCUAUCUAAUAUAUAUCCAAUGUAGAAAUAUACUAGUAAGAGAACAAAAAUCAAAAGCAGCAUUGAUUAAUUAAUGUAACGAACCUUUAAUUUUGAAGUUUGAACACAGCAGAAACUUCCAUAGAACUCUGUUCACCAUAAUCAACAUUCAUUUUCAACAACCCGUAAAUAGCAUGGAUUGGAAACCAGACGCCGCGCACGAACUCUUCAAUAGUAGAUUCCAUUUUAUCGCCAUGGAAAUGGUGCAAGUUCUCCCUUGUAGCACCUUUUUUGGUUGUUCAUUGGAUUGAUUCAAGAGUUUUACACUGUGUUUGGUUUUGAAGAAAGAGGGUGGAAGAGAAAUAAUUUCCACCGUUU
This 1247-nucleotide long non-coding RNA is filed under the name Cicer arietinum (chickpea). RNAcentral's name for it is "long non-coding RNA (CARI_LNC002391)". Lineage: Eukaryota; Viridiplantae; Streptophyta; Magnoliopsida; Fabales; Fabaceae. The record is from RNAcentral.